Molecule: unclassified non-coding RNA, 252 nt
Filed under: uncultured Xylariales
Lineage: Eukaryota; Fungi; Ascomycota; Sordariomycetes; Xylariales
Description: sequence contains 5.8S rRNA gene, ITS2, 28S rRNA gene
Source: RNAcentral
AACGCACAUUGCGCCUAUUAGUAUUCUAGUAGGCAUGCCUGUUCGAGCGUCAUUAAGUCCACAUUAAGCCUCGUCGCUUAGCGUUGGGAAUUUAUAGCGAUAUAAUUCCUCAAAUUUAGUGGCAGAAGUGAAUCACACUCUGAGCGUAGUAAUUUUUAUCUCGCUUUGGCAGUUAGCUCACCUCUCGCCGUUAAAACACCAUUUCUUUUUUUGGUUGACCUCGGAUCAGGUAGGAAUACCCGCUGAACUUAA